UGAGGUGUGGGGAAGGCGGGGAGGAGUUCUGCGGCUGGUUUACAGCUCUGAUGUACCACGAAUUCCCAGUAAUUGAGGAAAGCUGGAUCUCCUACUCCCACUUCUGCUAGUAACAGCUAUGCCACAGAAAAAAAACAGAGAACAGUACAGAAGACAAAAAGUUCCAGUAGCAAUCAACAAUGGAUCUAUCAACAGGUGCCUUUUCCUUCAAGUCAGCCCUCAACCCCCUCUCAGGGUCGCCUGCCCUAGCCUUAUGAGUGGAAAGCUCCAGGCCACCUACACAGCUAUCGGCCUUACAGGUGAUGCCGGCACCAAGAAAUAACAGUGAGUCAACACAGUUGAAGACACUGUGUGAGUCCUAUCAAAGAGAGGUCUGGCAAACGGUCUAAAUUUCAUUGAUAAAGGAGAGGUGUUUCUUGGUUCCAGUUUGGAACAUAAGCCUUCAUAUUGCUCUAAAAAGAAAAUCAACAAAG
Phyllostomus hastatus (greater spear-nosed bat) is the source of this 473-nucleotide long non-coding RNA. RefSeq lists it as uncharacterized. The record is from RefSeq and is a predicted model, not a curated record. NCBI's taxonomy places the organism in Eukaryota, Metazoa, Chordata, Mammalia, Chiroptera, Phyllostomidae. The transcript is spliced from 4 exons.